This 497-nucleotide ribosomal RNA is filed under the name uncultured bacterium. Its description in RNAcentral is "partial 16S ribosomal RNA". It matches the Rfam family "Bacterial small subunit ribosomal RNA", at positions 28 to 507 of the family's 1533-position model. The record is from RNAcentral.
GACGAACGCUGGCGGCGUGCCUAAUACAUGCAAGUCGAACGCUGAAGAGAGGAGCUUGCUCUUCUUGGAUGAGUUGCGAACGGGUGAGUAACGCGUAGGUAACCUGCCUUGUAGCGGGGGAUAACUAUUGGAAACGAUAGCUAAUACCGCAUAACAAUGGAUGACACAUGUCAUUUAUUUGAAAGGGGCAAUUGCUCCACUACAAGAUGGACCUGCGUUGUAUUAGCUAGUAGGUGAGGUAAUGGCUCACCUAGGCGACGAUACAUAGCCGACCUGAGAGGGUGAUCGGCCACACUGGGACUGAGACACGGCCCAGACGCCUACGGGAGGCAGCAGUAGGGAAUCUUCGGCAAUGGGGGCAACCCUGACCGAGCAACGCCGCGGGAGUGAAGAAGGGUUUCGGAUCGUAAAGCUCUGUUGUAAGUCAAGAACGGGUGUGAGAGUGGAAAGUUCACACUGUGACGGUAGCUUACCAGAAAGGGACGGCUAACUACGUG